RNAcentral lists this long non-coding RNA (271 nucleotides) under Capsicum annuum. RNAcentral's name for it is "long non-coding RNA (CANN_LNC003258)". Lineage: Eukaryota; Viridiplantae; Streptophyta; Magnoliopsida; Solanales; Solanaceae. The record is from RNAcentral.
ACCGUAUUUCAAAUUAGUGCAACAAAUAUUGAAAUUGUUAACCAAUACUAUAAGAGAAGUUGGCUCAAGUUCCUCAUUUUCUUCAAAACUAAAAAGGCCAUAAAUUUUUACCUGUGAAAGAAGAAAAGGACCGAUGAACAAUUCGAAGCUGUUGUGGCCGGAGAGCAAGGUUGUCACGUCGAUUGAAGUUGAAAAAGAACUGGAAUCCCAACUAUUUGUAGUCGGAUGUUGAAGUCGCCAAGGAUUGAAAUAAGAAAUUUGCAGAACAGUU